Molecule: long non-coding RNA, 630 nt
Filed under: Dermacentor andersoni
Lineage: Eukaryota; Metazoa; Arthropoda; Arachnida; Ixodida; Ixodidae
Description: uncharacterized LOC126539193
Source: RNAcentral
UCACUCACUGACAAUACUGCCGGUAGUUACUGGAAUUUCUUCCUCAAACGGAGAGGAAUCCCUACACCGCAAUUGCGAAGAUAGUUCCAUGAAAUGUAGUAAACGUCAGAUUUACUAAUACUAACCUUCGAACACGAUUUUGAGUCAUCAGUGUAACACUUCCGGUUCCAGGUACGAGAAAGCAAAAAGGUGCAUACCACAAUGUACAUGGUUAUUGUUACCGCUGGAAUGGCGUUCGGCUUGGUGGUUCACACUAUCGAUUUAGGUGCGACAAGUAACUGUACACCACCGGACUGUUCCAAAAACCCACACAAUACGAGUUGUACGGAGCCAUGCGUUGGAUACUCUUGCAAUGGCACACAGCUCUUAAAAGAACACUGUCAAGGUCACAAUGACUCAAGAUGCAUGGCGUCUUUUGCUAACUACUCAGCUCCUUAUCCCGACUGCUGCGGCGUGGUUAUGUGCACUUAAGGAUAACGGCAAUGGAAGCACGUCGAAGGUGAAAAUAUGACCAAUCACUGAAUAAUGCCUACCACUCUAAUAUUAACAAAUACAUCCGGAUGUUGCUCCAGAGCGCUGUGCGCAAGAGGUGUGCUCGAGUGAACAUAUUAAUAAAAUGUCAUAUUUUUA